AUUUAUAUAAUUUAUUUAGAAUAUCGCGUUGAAGUUGCGAAAGAGAUGUAUAAUCUGUAAAUG
This 63-nucleotide transfer RNA is filed under the name Daldorfia horrida. RNAcentral describes it as "tRNA-Phe". The record is from RNAcentral. Lineage: Eukaryota; Metazoa; Arthropoda; Malacostraca; Decapoda; Parthenopidae.